RNAcentral lists this long non-coding RNA (25543 nucleotides) under Triticum aestivum (bread wheat). RNAcentral describes it as "long non-coding RNA (TAES_LNC026824)". Lineage: Eukaryota; Viridiplantae; Streptophyta; Magnoliopsida; Poales; Poaceae. The record is from RNAcentral.
UUUUUCUUUUGUUUUCUGGUUAGAUUUGUUUUUCCUUUUUCUUUUAUUUAUUUCCCUUUUCUGUUUUAAUUCAAUUUAAAAUAUUUAUGCAUUUUAUAAAAAUGUGUUUACUACACCAUAUUUACCUAUGUAAUAUUUAGUACAAACCAAACAUUUUUAUUUUAAUGUUUGAAAACUUUUAUUAUUUACCAAACUUUGAAUUUGAAUUUUGGACCGGUUUUGAUCUAACAAUAGAUUAGCAGCAGUAACCGUGGUGACGUGGCACCAUUAGCGUGGGAUCACUGUAGCUUAAUUAUUCGGGCGUCACAAUUCUCCUCCACUACAAGAAAUCUCGUCCCGAGAUUUAAGAGGGGGUCUAAGGGGAAAAUUCUGGUUACGAAAUUCUAACGGGUCUUCUCGAUCUUGGUUUUUCUUCUCGAAGAGGUCGAUCCAUUACGUUGAAGUCUUUAUUCCUCUGCUUUAGGUAGUUGUGAUGAAAUCGUCAUCCUUUUCUUCGGAAACUCCAAUGUACUUACGAAUAGGUAAGGGGCAGCUCGACUACGACAGAAUGCUUAGGAGGGAAACAAUCUGGGGCUAGCCCAUGAAUGAGCAUAAGAUUAUCUCUCGAGUUGAACAUAUAAAAUACAUCGAGUGUAAGGUACAAAGGUACAAUAAGAAGUUUCAAGCGGAUACAUAGUUGCUCGAAGUCUGGACCAGAGUGAGAAAGGGGUUCAAAGUAGCGAGAGUAAGUAUUGCGUCUGAUACCAGAAUAGAGCACUAGGAAGGUGGCACGUGAAUUAAAUACGAAGCCAAGCCUGAGGAAUAACCAUUAGAAACAGGGUUGAACAGGAGAGUCAGGUUUCGAUCCUGUGGAACUGUGGGUUAUGGGCCCACCAUGUGGGUUAAAAGUAGGAAGGGCGGAGACGUCUUGUGUGAUCAUGUAAGCAAGGCAUGUCAGAGGAUGGCCUGUCAUUUAUGUCGGCAACAACAUCGGUACCAAGGGCGAGGGACGAAGAGAACCAUUUUCCUGCUCGUUGAACGAGGCGGACCAAUAGGCAAAGUUCUCCAUCGGUGGCUACCGGAAUGUCAUCAACAGUGGUAACAGGGUCUUACCGACAUGAUUGUACACCGAGGUGUUUACAUAAGCAGAAGAAUAUUACUGCUUAGAUCAUAUGGGUCACAAGGAAGAUUAAACAAAUCAAUGGAAAGGCAAAUGUGAUCAUCAGGUUAAACAGAACAAUGGAAAGGAAAAAUGUGUUUAAACACAUAUUUCAGGGGUAUAUCCUUCCCAAGGACAAGCAGAGCAUGAUAUCCAUGACAGGAUAUUAUGUAGAAAACUCCUUAGGUAGGGGAGAGAAAUUUCAUGACAUUACCCAUACAACGGUGUUUGGAUAAUUGAUAAAGAAAAUUUAGCAUUGUGCUUCAAAUAUUCUUGUUGAAAAUUGGAGUACCACGGACAUGCUUCAAGAUAGCAUUGACAUGGUCUUCAAACAAAGGUCGAUUUUUAGAUACUCAAUGGAUCCAUCAGGAACAGCUUAUAACAUAGGUCUUACAAUUUCCUCCAGGAAGAAUGGUUAUCCUUGCAAAUAAACCAUAAUGAUAGGUCCUCCGGCCGGGGGGGGGGUGCUAGGCAUGACAUCCUAUUACCAGGUCAUCAAAGGGCCAACCACAUAACUCUUGAAAAGUUAUCCCAACCAUCAUAUCUGACCGAGAUUCAGAUCCGAUUGGUGUCAUGAUACCUCAGACUCAGGAUGUCCGAGAAGAAAAGGUGCAACACAAAUAGACGAAAUGACAUUUCAAGAUUCUCAGGAAAUGAACUAUGGGCGUGGGUUCCUGAAACAAUAGUUCAUCAUCAAACCAAGGAGAGGAGGAGGAGGUGGCUGAUGGGCUCGGCGAUAAUCCAUCGAGAUUUCUGACAAGAUGGAUUUCCAUAAUUAUGUGAACAAGGAGAUACCAUUUGUUAGAUCAAAUGGUAUAAUGAUGUAUGCUCGAGGAAACAUACUCAAUUAAACAUUGGUUGAAAGGUGCACCCGAAUAUGGGUUGGGUUGCACGAUCAAUGUUAGAAUGGUGACUUGACGAACAAAAGAAUUAGAAUGAAACUCGACCAUUCACUUCAAAGCAAUAGGGUUGCUAGAAGUUUUGAAUUCACACAUCAUAGUUCAAUUGUCGGUAUUCCAGUUAGAAACAACACGGGUACCAAGAAAGAAUGGUGAGGGUGAGAAGUAUCACCAUACCAAAAAUUCUUAAGAGGUGGAGUAAUCCUCACGACAUUCUUGACGUAAAAGGUGGUAAUACUCCAUGGUAAAGAAGAACAAAUGCUAGAUAGCAAGGAACUCGAGGUAUAACUGAAGGAAAUAUGCCCUAGAGGCAAUAAUAAAGUUAUUAUUUAUUUCCUUAUUUCAUGAUAAUUGUUUAUUAUUCAUCCUAGAAUUGUAUUAAUCGGAAACAUGAUACAUGUGUGAAUACAUAGACAAAAAGAGUGCCACUAGUAUGCCUCUACUUGACUAGCUCGUUAAUCAAAGAUGGUUAUGUUUCCUAGCCAUAGACAUGAGUUGUCAUUUGAUUAACGGGAUCACAUCAUUAGGAGAAUGAUGCGAUUGACAUGACCCAUUCAGUUAGCUUAGCACCCAAUCGUUUAGUAUGUUGCUAUUGCUUUCUUCAUGACUUAUACAUGUUCCUAUGACUAUGAGAUUAUGCAACUCCCGUUUACCGGAGGAACACUUUGUGUGCUACCAAAUGUCACAACGUAACUGGGUGAUUAUAAAGGUGCUCUACAGGUGUCUCCGAAGGUACUUGUUGGGUUGGCAUAUUUCGAGAUUAGGAUUUGUCACUCCGAAUGUCGGAGAGGUAUCUCUGGGCCCUCUCGGUAAUGCACAUCACAUAAGCCUUGCAAGCAAUGCAACUAAUGAGUUAGUUGCGAUAUGAUGUAUUACGGAAUGAGUAAAGAGACUUGCCGGUAACGAGAUUGAACUAGGUAUUGGAUACCGACGAUCGAAUCUUGGGCAAGUAACAUACCGAUGACAAAGGGAACAACGUAUGAUUUUAUGCGGUUUGACCGAUAAAGAUCUUCGUAGAAUAUGUGGGAGCCAAUAUGAGCAUCCAGGUUCCGCUAUUGGUUAUUGACCGAGAAUAGUUAUAGGUCAUGUCUACAUUGUUCUCGAACCCGUAGGGUCCGCACGCUUAAGGUUUCGAUGACAGUUAUAUUAUGAGUUUUGAUGCACCGAAGGAGUUCGGAGUCCCUGAUGAGAUCGGGCCAUGACGAGGAGUCUCGAAAUGGUCGAGAUGUAAAGAUCGAUAUAUUGGACGACUAUAUUCGGAGUUCGGAAAGGUUCCGAGUGAUUCGGGUAUUUUUCGGAGUACCGGAGAGUUACGGGAAUUCGCCGGGGAGUAUAUGGGCCUUAUUGGGCCAUACGGGAAUAGAGGAGAGAGGCUGAAAGGAAGGAGGGGCGCAGCCCCCCUCUGGUCCGAAUUGGACAAGGGGUGCGGCCCCCUUUUCCUUCCUCCUCUCCCCUUCUUUCCCCCUUCUCCUACUCCAACAAGGAAGGAGGGAGUCCUACUCCCGGUGGGAGUAGGACUCCCCUUGGCGCGCCCAUUCUAGGCCGGCCGCCCCCUCCCCCCUUGCUCCUUUAUGUACGGGUGCAGGGGGGCACCUCUAGACACAACAACAAUUGAUCCCUUGGAUCUCUUAGCCGUGUGCGGUGCCCCCUCUACCAUAGUCCUCCUCGAUAAUAUUGUAGCGGUGCUUAGGCGAAGCCCUGCGACGGUAGAACAUCAAGAUCAUCACCACGCCGUCGUGCUGACGGAACUCAUCCCCGACACUUUGCUGGAUCGGAGUCCGGGGAUCGUCAUCGAGCUGAACGUGUGCUAGAACUCGGAGGUGCCGUAGUUUCGGUGCUUGAUCGGUCGGACCGUGAAGACGUACGACUACAUCAACCGCGUUGUUAUAACGCUUCCGCUUUCGGUCUACGAGGGUACGUAGACAACACUCUCCCCUCUCGUUGCUAUGCAUCACCAUGAUCUUGCGUGUGCGUAGGAAUUUUUUUGAAAUUACUACGUUCCCCAACAGUGGCAUCCGAGCCUAGGUUUUAUGCGUUGAUGUUAUAUGCACGAGUAGAACACAAGUGAGUUGUGGGCGAUACAAGUCAUACUGCUUACCAGCAUGUCAUACUUUGUUUCGGCGGUAUUGUUGGAUGAAGCGGCCCGGACCGACAUUAGCGUACGCUUACGCGAGACUGGUUCUACCGACGUGCUUUGCACACAGGUGGCUGGCGGGUGUCAGUUUCUCCAACUUUAGUUGAACCGAGUGUGGCUACGCCCGGUCCUUGCGAAGGUUAAAACAACACUAACUUGACGAACUAUCGUUGUGGUUUUGAUGCGUAGGUAAGAACGGUUCUUGCUCAGCCCGUAGCAGCCACGUAAAACUUCCAACAACAAAGUAGAGGACGUCUAACUUGUUUUUGCAGGGCAUGUUGUGAUGUGAUAUGGUCAAGACGUGAUGAGAUAUAAGUUGUUGUAUGAGAUGAUCAUGUUUUGUUGAAGUUAUCGGCAACUGGCAGAAGCCCUAUGGUUGUUUCUUUGUUGCAUAAGAUGCAAGUGCCAAAUAAUUGCUUUACUUUAUGGCUAUGCGAUAGCAAUAGUUAGCGAGACGACCAUGUGACGACACAUCGAUAUAGAUCAAGAUGAUGAAGAUCAUGGUGUCGUGCCGGUGAUGAUAGAGAUCAUGACAGUAUUUUGGAGAUGGAGAUCAAAGGCGCAAGAUGAUCAUGGCCAUAUCAUGUCACAUAUUUUGAUUGCAUGUGAUGUUUAUCUUUUAUACAUCUUAUUUUGCUUAGUUAGACGGUAGCUUUAUAAGAUGAUCUCUCACUAAAUUAUCAAGAAGUGUUCUCCCUGAGUAUGCACCGUUGCCAAAGUUCGUCGUGCCCAGACACCACGUGAUGAUCGGGUGUGAUAAGCUCUACGUCCAUCUACAACGGGUGCAAGCCAGUUUUGCAUACGCAGAAUACUCAGGUUAAACUUGACGAGCCUAGCAUAUGCAGAUAUGGCCUCGGAACACGGAGACCGAAAGGUCGAGCGUGAAUCAUAUAGUAGAUAUGAUCAACAUAGUGAUGUUCACCAUUGAAAACUACUCCAUCUCACGUGAUGAUCGGUUAUGGUUUAGUUGAUUUGGAUCACGUGAUCACUUAGAUGACUAGAGAGAUGUCUGUCUAAGUGGGAGUUCUUAAGUAAUAUGAUUAAUUGAACUUUAAUUUAUCAUGGACUUAGUCCUGGUAGUAUUAGCAUAUCUAUGUUGUAGAUCAAUAGCUCGCGUUGUUGCUUUUAUAUGUUUAUUUUGAUAUGUUCCUAGAGAAAAUUGUGUUGAAAGAUGUUAGUAGCAAUGAUGCGGAUUGGAUCCGUGAUCUGAGGUUUAUCCUCAUUGCUGCACAGAAGAAUUAUGUCCUUGAUGCACCGCUAGGUGACAGACCUAUUGCAGGAGUAGAUGCAGACGUUAUGAAGGUUUGGCUAGCUCAAUAUGAUGACUACUUGAUAGUUUAGUGCACCAUGCUUAACGGCUUAGAAUCGGGACUUCAAAGACGUUUUGAACGUCAUGGACCAUAUGAGAUGUUCCAGGAGUUGAAGUUAAUAUUUCAAGCAAAUACCCGAGUUGAGAGAUAUGAAGUCUCCAACAAGUUCUAUAGCUAAAAGAUGGAGGAGAAUCGCUCAACUAGUGAGCAUGUGCUCAGAUUGUCUGGGUACUACAAUCGCUUGAAUCAAGUGGGAGUUAAUCUUCCAGAUAAAAUAGUGAUUGACAGAAUUCUCUAGUCACCAUCAUCAAGUUAGUAGAACUUCGUGAUGAACUAUAAUAUGCAAGGGAUAACGGAAACGAUUCCCAAGCUCUUCGUGAUGCUAAAAUCGACGAAGGUAAAAAUCAAGAAAAACAUCAAGUGUUGAUGGUAGACAAGACCACCAGUUUCAAGAAAAAGGCAAAAGGAAGAAGGGGAACUUCAAGAAGAACGACAAGCAAGUUGCUGCUCAGGUGAAGAAACCCAAGUCUGGUCCUAAGCCUGAGACUAAGUGCUUCUACUGCAAAGGGAUUGGUCACUGGAAGCGGAACUACCCCAAAUAUUUGGCGGAUAAGAAGGAUGGAAAAGUGAACAAAAGUAUAUUUGAUAUACACGUUAUUGAUGUGUACUUUACUAGUGUUUAUAGCAACCCCUCAGUAUUUGAUACUAGUUCAGUUGCUAAGAUUAGUAACUCGAAAUGGGAGUUGCAGAAUGAAUAGAGACUAAUUAAGGGUGAAGUGACGAUGAAAGUUGGAAGUAGUUCCAAGAUUAAUAUGAUCAUCACACACUCCCUAUACUUUCGGGAUUAGUGUUAAACCUAAAUAAGUGUUAUUUGGUGUUUAUAUUGAGCAUGAAUAUGAUUUGAUCAUGUUUAUUGCAAUACGGUUAUUCAUUUAAGUAAGAGAAUAAAUUGUUGUUCUGUUUACAUGAAUAAAACCUUGUAUGGUUACACACCCAAUGAAAAUAGUUCAUUGGAUCUCGAUCGUAGUAAUACACAUAUUCAUAAUAUUGAAGCCAAAAGAUGCAAAGUUAAUAAUGAUAGUGCAACUUAUUUAUGGCACUGCCGUUUAGGUCAUAUUGGUGUAAAGCGCAUGAAGAAACUCCAUGCUGAUGGGAUUUUGGAAUCACUUGAUUAUGAAUCACUUGAUGCUUGCGAACCGUGCCUCAUAGGCAAGAUGACUAAAACGCCGUUCUCCGGUACUAUGGAGAGAGCAACAGAUUUGUUGGAAAUCAUAUAUACAGAUGUAUGUGGUCCGAUGAAUGUUGAGGCUCGCAGCGGGUAUCAUUAUUUUCUGAUCUUCAUAGAUGUUUUGAGCAAAUAUGAGUAUAUCUACUUGAUGAAACAUAAGUCUGAAAUAGUUGAAAGGUUCAAAGAAUUUCAAAGUGAAGUGGAAAAUCAUCGUAACAAGAAAAUAAAGUUUCUGCGAUCUGAUCGUGGAGAUGAAUAUUUGAGUUAUGAGUUUGGUCUUCAAUUAAAACAAUGUGGAAUAGUUUCACAGCUCACGCCACCUGGAACACCACAACGUUAUGGUGUGUCCGAACGUUGUAACCGCACUUUAUUUGAUAUGGUGCGAUCAAUGAUGUCUCUUACCGAUUUACUAAUACCGUUUUGGGGUUAUGCAUUAGAGACAGCUGCAUUCACGUUAAAUAGGGCACCAUCUAAAUCCAUUGAGAUGACACCUUAUGAACUGUGGUUUGGCAAGAAACUCAAGUUGUCGUUUCUUAAAGUUUGGGGUUACGAUGCUUAUGUGAAAAAGUUUCACCCGCUAAGCUCAAACCCAAAUCGGAGAAGUGCGUCUUCAUAGAAUACCCAAAGGAAACUAUUGGGUACACCUUCUAUCACAGAUCCAAAGGCAAGAUAUUCGUUGCUAAAAAUGGAUCCUUUCUAGAGAAGGAGUUUCUCUCGAAAGAAGUGAGUGGGAGGAAAGUGGAACUUGAUAAGGUAAUUGUACCUUCUCCCGAAUUGGAAAAUAGUUCAUCACAGAAAUCAGUUCCAGUGAUGUCUACACCAAUUAGUGAGGAAGUUAAUGAUGAUGAUCAUGAAACUUCAGAUCAAGUUGUUACUGAACCUUGUAGGUCAACCAGAGUAAGAUCCGCACUAGACUGGUACGGUAAUCCUGUUCUGGAAGUUAUGUUACUAGACCAUGACGAACCUACGAACUAUGAAGAAGCGAUGGUGAGCCCAGAUUCCACGAAAUGGCUUGAGGCCAUGAAAUCUGAGGUAGGAUCCAUGUAUGAGAACAAAGUAUGGACUUUGAUUGACUUGCCCGAUGAUCGGUGAGUCAUUAAGAAUAAAUGGAUCUUCAAGAGGAAGACAUAUGCUGAUAGUAGUGUUACUAUCUACAAAGCUAGACUUGUCGAAAAAGGUUUUUGACAAAGUUCAAGGUGUUGACUACGAUGAAAUUUUCUCACUCGUAGCGAUGCUUAAGUCUGUCCAAAUCAUGUUAGCAAUUGCCACAUUUUUAUGAAAUCUGGCAAAUGGAUAAACAAAACUACAUUCCUUAAUGGAUUUAAAGAAGAGUUGUAUAUGAUGCAACCAGAAGGUUUUGUCAAUCCUAAAGGUGCUGACAAAAUACACAAGCUCCAGCGAUCCAUCUAUGGACUGGUGCAAGCAUCUCGGAGUUGGAAUAUACGCUUUGAUAAGUUGAUCAAAGCAUAUAGUUUUAUACAGACUUGCGAUGAAGCCUGUAUUUACUAGAAAGUGAGUGGGAGCACUACAACAUUUCUGAUAAGUAUAUGUGAAUGACAUAUUGUAGAUUGGAAAUAAUGUAGAAUUAUUCUGCAAAGCAUAAAGGAGUGUUUGAAAGGAGUUUUUCAAAGAAAGACCUCGGUGAAGCUGCUUACAUAUUGAGCAUCAAGAUCUAUAGAGAUAGAUCAAGACGCUUGAUAAGUUUUUUCAAUGAGUACAUACCUUGACAAGAUUUUGAAGUAGUUCAAAAUGGAACAGUCAAAGAAAGAGUUCUUGCCUGUGUUACAAGGUGUGAAAUUGAGUAAGACUCAAAACCCGACCACGGCAGAAGAUAGAAAGAGAAUGAAAGUCAUUCCCUAUGCCUUGGCCAUAGGUUCUAUAAAGUAUGCCAUGCUGUGUACCAGAUCUAUUGUAUACCCUACACUGAGUUUGGCAUGGGAAUACAAUAGUGAUCUAGGAGUAGAUCACUGGACAGCGGUCAAAAUUAUCCUUAGUGGAAUAAGGAUAUGUUUCUCGAUUAUGGAAGUGACAAAAGGUUCAUCGUAAAGGGUUACGUCGAUGCAAGUUUUGACACCGAUCUGGAUGACUCUAAGUCUCGAUCUAGAUACAUAUUGAAAGUGGGAGCAAUUAGCUAGAGUAGCUCCGUGCAGAGCAUUGUAGACAUAGAAAAUUGCAAAAUACAUAACGGAUCUGAAUGUGAAAGACCCGUUGACUAAGAUUCUCUCACAAGCAAAACAUGAUCACACCUUAGCACUCUUUGGUGUUAAUCACAUAACGAUGUGAACUAGAUUACUGAAUCUAGUAAACCCUUUGGGUGUUGGUCACAUGGCGAUGUGAACUAUGGGUGUUAAUCACAUGAUGAUGUGAACUAUCGAUGUUAAUCACAUAGUGAUGUGAUCUAGAUUAUUGACUCUAGUGCAAGUGGGAGACUGAAGGAAAUAUGCCCUAGAGGCAAUAAUAAAGUUAUUAUUUAUUUCCUUAUUUCAUGAUAAUUGUUUAUUAUUCAUUCUAGAAUUGUAUUAAUCGGAAACAUGAUACAUGUGUGAAUACAUAGACAAACAGAGUGUCACUAGUAUGCCUCUACUUGACUAGCUCGUUAAUCAAAGAUGGUUAUGUUUCCUAGCCAUAGACAUGAGUUGUCAUUUGAUUAACGGGAUCACAUCAUUAGGAGAAUGAUGUGAUUGACAUGACCCAUUCAGUUAGCUUAGCACCCGAUCGUUUAGUAUGUUGCUAUUGCUUUCUUCAUGACUUAUACAUGUUCCUAUGACUAUGAGAUUAUGCAACUCCCGUUUACCGGAGGAACACUUUGUGUGCUACCAAACGUCACAACGUAACUGGGUGAUUAUAAAGGUGCUCUACAGGUGUCUCCGAAGGUACUUGUUGGGUUGGAAUAUUUUGAGAUUAGGAUUUGUCACUCCGAAUGUCGGAGAGGUAUCUCUGGGCCCUCUCGGUAAUGCACAUCACAUAAGCCUUGCAAGCAAUGCAACUAAUGAGUUAGUUGCGAGAUGAUGUAUUACGGAACGAGUAAAGAGACUUGCUGGUAACAAGAUUGAACUAGGUAUUGGAUACCGACGAUCGAAUCUCGGGCAAGUAACAUACCGAUGACAAAGGGAACAACGUAUGAUGUUAUGCGGUUUGACCGAUAAAGAUCUUCGUAGAAUAUGUGGGAGCCAAUAUGAGCAUCCAGGUUCCGCUAUUGGUUAUUGACCGAGAAUAGUUCUAGGUCAUGUCUACAUUGUUCUCGAACCCGUAGGGUCCGCAAGCUUAAGGUUUCGAUGACAGUUAUAUUAUGAGUUUAUGAGUUUUAAUGUACCGAAGGAGUUCGGAGUCCCUGAUGAGAUCGGGGACAUGACGAGGAGUCUCGAAAUGGUCGAGACGUAAAGAUCGAUAUAUUGGACGAUUAUAUUCGGAGUUCGGAAAGGUUCCGAGUGAUUCGGGUAUUUUUUGGAGUACCGGAGAGUCACGGGAAUUCGCCGGGGAGUAUGUGGGCCUUAUUGGGCCAUACGGGAAUAGAGGAGAGAGGCCGAAAGGAAGGAGGCGCGCAGCCCCCCUCUGGUCCGAAUUGGACAAGGGGCGCGGCCCCCUUUUCCUUCCUCCUCUCCCCCUCUUUCCCCCUUCUCCUACUCCAACAAGGAAGGAGGGAGUCCUACUCCCGGUGGGAGUAGGACUCCCCUUGGCGCGCCCCUUCUAGGCCGGCCGCCCCUCCCCCCUUGCUCCUUUAUAUACGGGGGCAGGGGGGCACCUCUAGACACAACAACAAUUGAUCCCUUGGAUCUCGCCGUGUGCGGUGCCCCCUCUACCAUAGUCCUCCUCGAUAAUAUUGUAGCGGUGCUUAGGCGAAGCCCUGCGACGGUAGAACAUCAAGAUCAUCACCACGCCGUCGUGCUGACGGAACUCAUCCCCGACACUUUGCUGGAUCGGAGUCCGGGGAUCGUCAUCGAGCUGAACGUGUGCUAGAACUCGGAGGUGCCGUAGUUUCGGUGCUUGAUCGGUCGGACCGUGAAGACGUACGACUACAUCAACCGCGUUGUUAUAACGCUUCCGCUUUCGGUCUACGAGGGUACGUAGACAACACUCUCCCCUCUCGUUGCUAUGCAUCACCAUGAUCUUGCGUGUGCGUAGGAAAUUUUUUGAAAUUACUACGUGCCCCAACAAUAACACAGAACACAAACAAGUUUUUGUUGGAGGGAACGCAAUAAAGAGGCCGAUGACAACACAAAUCAUCAAGGGCAAGGAUGGUAUUUCUCAUCAUUAAUUCAAUUGAUAUCCUGGAAGAGCAUCAGAAUGUAGAUGAUGAUCAUGACACAUUUGUCGAGAGAUUUCACGAAGAUGUAAUCGAUCGACGAUGACAUCAAGUCAAACGAAUGAUGAAGCGAAAGGUUGUUGGAACCAUGAGUAGGACAUAGACCCGAGAGCAAGUUUGUUGUUCAAGAUGGAACGAUAAGACAAGGAAACCGACGUAAGCUUAGCUCAAUCUUCGAAUGUUGUGCUCCGGAAUUAAGGACCCGAUAGCACAGUUAAAAUUAGCACGAUAAUGAUGUAGCCGAUCAGGCUAGGAGUGACGGGAUGGAGUAUUAAACUUCUCAACCACAAAGUACUGGGGGUACCGAAUCUCAGUGUUGAUUUGAUUCACAAAUCGGGGUUCUCGGUUGACGACAACCCAUAACCCGUGGAGUGACUGUGAUGGGGAAACGUACUACUUCAUCAGAAAUUCAUAAGAUGAAGUGCAAUGGGUUGAUAUCCUCGAGAUACCAGGGGGUAAUACUCGAAGGUAGAACAAAAUAGAGGUUGGGAAGGCGUACUGAUCUGCAGAAGGCAAGUAUUUUAACUUGUCCGAGAAAUAGAAUCAAAGGAGAACAAUCAUGGUCGGAACCCACGAUCAUAAAGGAUCAAACCAUGGAUACAAGAUGAACUUAUAACAAGGGGUAAUUAUUUUUACGAGCAGCUUCCAUGAUAAGUUAUACAUCGUGUCCAUGGGCAUGAACGCAAGGUUCAAGGCCGACUCCCGCUUCUUCAAUGUAUAACCUUCCAUUCACUUCUCGCUUUGAUAAAGGCAUUAGUGUUGAAAGUUUUACCUGGUGAAAUACCAGAUGAGUAUGACUCGUGAAAACUCCCGAGGUCACACUUAUAAAGGAAGGCAUAGGUUCAACCCGUCAGGGUAUCGUGGAAACAUAUACCACAACCUUCAAUAGUAAAUACCACUAGCUCGAAAGCAGAGCAUGGUUGGUCAAGCAGAGGAUACAAUGUACCAAAGGCAUUAUGUAUUAGGGGAAAGAACUCACAAGGUGAUUAAUUAUGAAGGACACUGUCGGAUAAUAAUCCAAGAGUGGAUAUGGCGAACCACAAUGGAGCUGAUGUGAGUAUCGAUACCCAAUCAGAGGAAGAAAGAAUGCAAAUGCAUCGGUUUAUAGAACAUCUGAAUAAUUCAACAUUUAAAUAACAAAGGGAUUAUGAUUUUCAAAUCAAGGGAUCAGAAGCAACCGCUCUGAUUUAAGGAUGGAUAAGUUGAGUAGGCUUAGGGAUACCAUCGAUGGUAAUUUGAUUGGUCGAGAUCCAGCUCAUGCUCAAAAUGAAAUCUGAGCCGGAAAGACAAUUUAAAAGGAUCAACCGAUGAUUGUGAACAUUCACAAUGUAUUGAAUCAACGGACUCAAAAAUGAUGGUGACAAAGGAUGCCAAUAUGAUUACUAUACUUAUGGGAUUAAUCAUAAUGAAAGCCAACAAGAAAUUCCAGAGCAAUAGGUUGCUGAGGAUUUUCAGAAUAUCGAAUGGUAUUUCGAAGACUUUUGUGUAACACAUGAUCAACUGGGGGAUGAGCGGAUACUCGAUAAGUGCGAGAAUUAACCGUAGGGGUAUUCAGGUGACAAAGAACAGCAAUGCAGUAAGCUCAAAGGAUUAUCGAAACAACGACGAAUUUUUCAGGGUAUCUUGUAAUAACAAGACCAAUUGGGGAUGAAUGUAAGAAUAACAACUGCAAGUAGUUAUCCAUAAGGGUUUGCGGUGGAAGGGGAAUUGCAAACGCGAUGAACACAAGUUCUCGGGUUAACCGCGGAGAGUAUCUUUAGGGUCUUCUGGUGCAGCAGACGAUCAUCAGUAAUAAGGGGCUCUCUGGGUGAAAGUGAUAACGAGAUCCUAAUGUUAGAUUUAGUAAACUUCAUUUAACCCGAAUAGGAGAGAGUUCAGAGUCCCGGAGUAAAGAUCGAGGAGUAAAAGAUCCUAACACCACCCAAAAGGCGACGUGGGCCCAUGGGCCGCACAGCCAUGUUAGUAAAACAGUUUUCAUCGACUAGACUCGACUUCGGCCAAGGAGUGUGGAAGGGGGAUUCCUACAGGCAGUCGGCUCUGAUACCAAUUUGUGACGCCCCCGAUUCAAUCGUACACUAAUCAUACAUGCAAACGUGUACGAUCAAGAUCAUGGACUCACGGGAAGAUAUCACAACACAACUCUAAAAAUAAAAUAAGUCAUACAAGCAUCAUAAUACAAGCCAGGGGCCUCGAGGGCUCGAAUACAGGUGCUCGAUCAUAGACGAGUCAGCGGAAGCAACAAUAUCUGAGUACAAACAUAAGUUAAACAAGUUUGUCUUAAGAAGGCUAGCACAAACUGGGAUACAGAUUGAAAGAGGCGCAGGCCUCCUGCCUGGGAUCCUCCUAACUACUCCUGGUCGUCGUCAGCGGCCUGCACAUAGUAGUAGGCACCUCCGGGGUAGUAGGAGUCGUCGUCGACGGUGGCGUCUGGCUCCUGGGCUUCGACAUCUGGUUGCGGCAACUAGGUAGAAGGGAAAGGGGGAAAAGAGGGAGAAAAGAAACCGUGAGUACUCAUCCAAAGUACUCGCAAGCAAGGAGCUACACUACAUAUGCAUGGAUAUAUGUGUAAAGGGCCAUAUUAGUGGAUUGAACUGUAGAAUGCCAGAAUAAGAGGGGGAUAGCUAAUCCUGGCGAAGACUACACUUCUGGCAGCCUCCGUCUUUCAGCAUAUAGAAGAGAGUAGACUGAAGUCCUCCAACUAGCAUCGUAUAACAUAAUCCUACCCGGCGAUCCCCUCAUCGUAACCCUGAUAGAGAGCGACCACCGGGUUGUAUCUGGCACUUGGAAGGGUGUGUUUUAUUAAGUAUCCGGUUCUAGUUGUCAUAAGGUCAAGGUACAACUAUGGGUCGUCCUUUUACAGAGGGACACGGCUAUUCGAAUAGAUUAAACUUCCCUGCAGGGGUACACCACAUAACCCAACACGCUUGAUCCCAUUUGGCCGGACACACUUUUUGUUGGAAAUAUGCCCUAGAGGCAAUAAUAAAAGUAUUAUUAUUAUAUUUCCUUGUUCAUGAUAAUUGUCUUUUAUUCAUGCUAUAACUGUAUUAUCCGGAAAUCGUAAUACACGUGUGAAUACAUAGACCACAAUAUGUCCCUAGUGAGCCUCUAGUUGACUAGCUCGUUGAGAUCAAUAGAUAGUCAUGGUUUCCUGGCUAUGGACAUUGGAUGUCGUUGAUAAUGGGAUCACAUCAUUAGGAGAAUGAUGUGAUGGACAAGACCCAAUCCUAAGCAUAGCACAAAGAUCGUGUAGUUCGUUUGCUAGAGCUUUUCCAAUGUCAAGUAUCUCUUCCUUAGACCAUGAGAUCGUGUAACUCCCGGAUACCGUAGGAGUGCUUUGGGUGUAUCAAACGUCACAACGUAACUGGGUGACUAUAAAGGUGCACUACAGGUAUCUCCGAAAGUGUCUGUUGGGUUGACACGGAUCGAGACUGGGAUUUGUCACUCCGUGCAAACGGAGAGGUAUCUCUGGGCCCACUCGGUAGGACAUCAUCAUAAUGUGCACAGUGUGACCAAGGGGUUGAUCACAGGAUGAUGUGUUGCGGAACGAGUAAAGAGACUUGCCGGUAACGAGAUUGAACAAGGUAUCGGCAUACCGACGAUCGAAUCUCGGGCAAGUAAAAUACCGCUAGACAAAGGGAAUUGUAUAUGGGAUCGACUGAGUCCUUGACAUCGUGGUUCAUGCGAUGAGAUCAUCGUGGAACAUGUGGGAGCCAACAUGGGUAUACAGAUCCCGCUGUUGGUUAUUGACCGGAGAACGUCUCGGUCAUGUCUACAUGUCUCCCGAACCCGUAGGGUCUACACACUUAAGGUUCGAUGACGCUAGGGUUAUAAAGGAAGCUUGUAUGUGGUUACCGAAUGUUGUUCGGAGUCCCGGAUGAGAUCCCGGACGUCACGAGGAGUUCCGGAAUGGUCCGGAGGUAAAGAUUUAUAUAUGGGAAGUCCUGUUUUGGUCACCGGAAAGGUUUCGGGUUUUAUCGGUAACGUACCGGGACCACCGGGAGGGUCCCGGGGGUCCACCAAGUGGAGCCACCUACCCCAGAGGGCUGCAUGGGCCAUGUGUGGGAGGGAACCAGCCCCAGGUGGGCUGGUGCGCCCCCCACAAGGGGCCCAAGGCGCAGGAAGUGGGGAAGGGGGGCAAACCCUAGGGCAGAUGGGCCCUAAGGCCCACCCUGGGUGCGCCUCCCCCUCUCUCCCCCUCUGGCCGCCACCCAGAUGGGAUCUGAGGGCUGGCCGCCGCCCCCUAGGGGUGGAAACCUAGGUGGGGGCACAGCCCCCUCUCCCCCUAUAUAUAGUGAGGCAUAGGAGCAGCCCAACACAUGAGUUUCUUCUCCUGUUGGCGCAGCCAUACCUCUCUCCCUUCUCCUCAGAUCUCGCGGUGCUUGGCAAAGCCCUGCUGGACUACCACGCUCCUCCAUCACCACCACGCCGUUGUGCUGCUGCUGGAUGGAGUCUUCCUCAACCUCUCCCUCUCUCCUUGCUGGAUCAAGGCGCGGGAGACGUCACCGGGUUGUACGUGUGUUGAACGCGGAGGUGUCGUCCGUUCGGCACUAGGAUCUCCGGUGAUUUGGAUCACGACGAGUACGACUCCUUCAACCCCGUUCUCUUGAACGCUUCCGCUUAGCGAUCUACAAGGGUAUGUAGAUGCACUCUCCUUCCCCUCGUUGCUGGUUUCUCCAUAGAUAGAUCUUGGUGACACGUAGGAAAUUUUUUGAAUUUCUGCUACGUUCCCCAACAGUGGCAUCAUGAGCUAGGUCUAUUGCAUAGAUUCUUUGCACGAGUAGAACACAAAGUAGUUGUGGGCGUUGAUGUUGUUCAAUAUGCUUACCGUUACUAGUCCAAUCUUGUUUCGACGGUAUUGUGGGAUGAAGCGGCCCAGACCGACCUUACACGUACUCUUAUGUGAGACAGGUUCCACCGAUUGACAUGCACUUCGUGCAUAAGGUGGCUAGCGGGUGCCAGUCUCUCCCACUUUAGUCGGAACGGAUUCGAUGAAAAGGGUCCUUAUGAAGGGUAAAUAGCAAUUGGCAUAUCACGUUGUGGUUUUGCGUAGGUAAGAAACGUUCUUGCUAGAAACCCAUAGCAGCCACGUAAAACAUGCAAACAACAAUUAGAGGACGUCUAACUUGUUUUUGCAGGGUAUGCUAUGUGAUGUGAUAUGGCCAAGAAGAAUGUGAUGAAUGAUAUGGGAUAUAUGAGAUUGAUCAUGUUCUUGUAAUAGGAAUCACGACUUGCAUGUCGAUGAGUAUGACAACCGGCAGGAGCCAUAGGAGUUGUCUUGAUUUAUUGUAUGACCUGCGUGUCAUUGAACAACGCCAUGUAAUUACUUUACUUUAUUGCUAACCGGUAGCCAUAGUAGUAGAAGUAAUAGUUGGCGAGACAACUUCAUGAAGACACGAUGAUGGAGAUCAUGAUGAUGAAGAUCAUGGUGUCAUGCCGGUGACGAUGAUAAUCAUGGAGCCCCGAAGAUGGAGAUCAAAAGGAGCAAAAUGAUAUUGGCCAUAUCAUGUCACUAUUUGAUUGCAUGUGAUGUUUAUCAUGUUUAUGCAUCUUGUUUACUUAGGACGACGGUAGUAAAUAAGAUGAUCCCUUACAAAAUUUCAAGAAGUGUUCUCCCCUAACUGUGCACCGUUGCUACAGUUUGUCGCUUCUAAGCACCACGUGAUGAUCGGGUGUGAUGGAUUCUUACGUUCACAUACAACGGGUGUAAGACAGUUUUACACAGCGAAAACACUUAGGGUUAACUUGACGAGCCUAGCAUGUACAGACAUGGCCUCGGAACACGGAGACCGAAAGGUCGAGCAUGAGUCGUAUAGUAGAUACGAUCAACAUGAAGAUGUUCACCGAUGAUGACUAGUCCGUCUCACGUGAUGAUCGGACACGACCUAGUUGACUUGGAUCAUGUAAUCACUUAGAUGACCAGAGGGAUGUCUAUCUGAGUGGGAGUUCAUAAGAUGAACUUAAUUAUCCUGAACAUAGUCAAAAGAUCUUUGCAAAUUAUGUCGUAAGCUCGCGCUUUAGUUCCACUAUUUAGAUAUGUUCCUAGAGAAAAUAUAGUUGAAAGUUGACAGUAGCGAUUAUGCGGACAGUAGAAAACUCAUGUCCUUAAUGCACCGCUCAGUGUGCUGAACCCCAAACGUCGUUUGUGGAUGUUGCGAACAUCGGACAUACACGUUUUGAUAACUACGUGAUAGUUCGGAAUAAACAGUUUAGAAUUAAGGCACCAAAGAUGUUUUUCGAAAUGUCGCGGAACAUAUGAGAUGUUUCGAGGGCUGAAAUUGAGAUUUCAGGCUCGUGCCCACGUCAAGAGGUAUGAGACCUCCGACAAUUUUCUUAGCCUGCAAACUAAGGGAGAAAAGCUCAAUCGUUGAGCUUGUGCUCAGAUUGUCUGAGUGCAACAAUCACUUGAAUCGAGUGGGAGUUAAUCUUCCAGAUGAGAUAGUGACGUUUCUCCAAAGUCAUUGCCACCAAGCUGCUAGAGCUUCGUGAUGAACUAUAACAUAUCAGGGAUAGAUAUGAUGAUCCUUGAGGUAUUCGUGAUGUUUGACACCGCGAAAGUAGAAAUCAAGAAGGAGCAUCAAUUGUUGAUGGUUGGUGAAACCACUAGUUUCAAGAAGGGCAAGGGCAAGAAGGGAUACUUCAUGAAACGGCAAAUCAGCUGCUGCUCUAGUGAAGAAACCCAAGGUUGAACCCAAACCCGAGACUAAGUGCUUCUGUAAUAAGGGGAAUAGCCACUGGAGCGGAAUUACCCUAGAUACUUGGUAGAUGAGAAGGCUGGCAAGGUCGAUAGAAGUAUAUUGGAUAUACAUUAUGUUAAUGUGUACUUUACUAGUACUUCUAGUAGCACCAGGGUAUUAGAUACCGUUUCGGUUGCUAAGUGUUAGUAACUCGAAAUAAAAGCUACGGAAUAAACGGAGACUAGCUAAAGGUGAGCUGAUGAUAUGUGUUGGAAGUGUUUCCAAGGUUGAUGUGAUCAAGCAUCGCCCGCUCACUCUACCAUCGAAAUUUGGUGUUUGCGUUGAGCAUAGACAUGAUUGGAUUAUGUCUAUCGCAAUACGGUUAUUCAUUUAAGGAGAAUAAUGGUUACUCUAUUUAUUUGAAUAAUACCUUCAAUGGUCUUGCACCUAAAGGAAUGGUUUAUUGAAUCUCGAUCAUAGUGAUACACAUUUUCAUGCCAAAAAGGAUAUAAGAUAGUAAUGAUAGUACCACUUACUUGUGGCACUGCCAUGUAAGUCAUAUUGGUGUAAAACGCAUGAAGAAGCUCCAUGUUGAUGGAUCUUUGGACUCACUCGUUUUGGAAAAGUUUGAGACAUGCAAACCAUGUCUAUUGGUAUGUACGCAUGAAGAAACUCCAUGCAGAUGGAUCGUUUGGACUCACUUGAUUUUGAAUCACUUGAGAUAUGCAAAUCAUACCACAUGGGCAAGAUGACUAAAAGCCUCGUUUUUCAGUAAAAUGGAACAAGAUAGCAACUUGUUGGAAGUAACACUUUUUGAUGUGUGCAGUCCAAUGAGUGCUGAGGCAUGCAGUGAAUAUCGUUAUGUUCUUACUUCACAGAUGAUUCGAGUAGAUGUAGAGUAUAUUUACUUGAUGAAACACAAGUCUGAAUUAUUGAAUGGUUCAAGUAAUUUCAGAGUGAAGUUGAAGAUCAUCGUGACAAGAGGAUGAAAUGUCUAUGAUAUGAUCAUAGAGAUGAGUAUCUGAGUUACGAGCUUUGGCACACAAUUAAGACAUUGUGGAAAUUGUUUCACAAUUAAUACCGCCUGGAACACCAUAGUUUGAUGGUGUGUCCGAACAUCAUAGUUGCACCCUAUUGGAUAUGGUGCGUACCAUGAUGUCUCUUAUCGAAUUACCACUAUAGUUUAUGGGUUAGGCAUUAGAGAUAACCACAUUCACUUUAAAUAGGGCACCACGUAAUUCCGUUGAGAUGACACCGUAUGAACUAUGGUUUAAAGAAACCUAAGUUGUCAUUUCUUAAAGGUUUGGGGCUGCGACGCUUAUGUGAAAAAGUUUCAGGUUGAUAAGCUCGAACCCAAAGCGGAUAAAAUGCAUCUUCAUAGGACACCCAAAACAGGUGGGUAUACCUCCUAAUUCAGAUCCGAAAGCAAUAGGGAUUGUUUCUUGAAUCGGGUCCUUUCUCGAGGAAAAGUUUGUCUCGAAAAGUUGAGUGGGAGGAUGGUGGAAACUUGAUAUGGUUAUUGAACCGUCACUACAACUAGUGUGUAGCAGGGCACAGGAAGUUGUUCCUGUGGCACCUACACCAAUUGAAGUAGAAGCUUAUGAUAGUGAUCAUGAAACUUCGGAUCAAGUCACUACCGUACCUCGUAGGGUGACAAGGAUGCGUACUGCUUCAGAGUGGUACAGUAAUCCUGUCUUGAAGGUCAUGUUGCUAGACAACAAUGAACCUACGAGCUAUGGAGAAGCGAUGGUGGGCCCAAAUUCCGACAAAUGGUUAGAAGCCAUGAAAUCCGAGGUAGGAUCCAUGUAUCAGAACAAAGCAUGGACUUUGGUGGACUUGCCCGAUGAUCGGCAAGCCAUUAAGAUAAAUGGAUCUUUAAGAAGAAGACGGACGUGGAUGGUAAUGUCACCAUCUAUGAAGCUCGACUUGUGGCGAAGAGUUUUUCACAAGUUCAAAGAGUUGACUACGAUGAGAUUUUCUCAUCCGUAGCGAUGCUUAAGUCCGUCGGAAUCAUGUUAGCAUUAGCUGCAUUUAUGAAAUCUGGCAGAUGGAUGUCAAAACGAGUUUCCUUACCAGUCUUCAUAAGGAAAGGUUGUAUGCGAUACAAUAAGAAAAGUUUUGUCGAUCCUAAGGAUGCUAAAAGGUAUGCUAGCUCCAGCGAUCCUUCCAUGGACUGGAGUAAGCAUCUCGGAGUUGGAAUGUGCGUUUUGAUGAGAUGAUCAAAGAUUUUGGGUUUAUACAAAAGUUUAUGAGAAACUUGUAUUUCCAAAGAAGUGAGUGGGAGCAUUAUAGAAUUUCUGAUGAGUAUAUGUUAUUGACAUAUUGUUGAUCAGAAAUGAUGUAGAAUUUCUGGAAAGCAUAUAGGGCUAUUGGAAAGUGUUUUUCAAUAGAAAACCUGGAUUAAGCUUCUUGAACAUUGAGCAUCAAGAUCUAUAAGGAUAGAUCAAAACACUUAAUGGUACUUUCAAAUGAGCAUAUACCUUGACAUGAUCUUGAAGGUGUUCAAGAUGGAUCAGUCAAAGAAGGAGUUCUUGCCUGAGAUGUAAGGUAUGAAGUUAAGACUUAAAAGCUCGACCACGGCAGAAUAGAGAGAAAGGACGAAGGUCGUCCCCUAUGUUUCAGACGUAGGCUCUAUAGUAUGCUAUGCUGUGUACUGCACCGGAAGUGUGCCUUGCCAUGAGUCAGUCAAGGGGUACAAGAAUGAUCCAGGAAUGGAUCAUUGGACAGCGGUCAAAAUUGUCCUUGAAGUAAAUAAGGACAUGUUUCUCGAUUAUGGAGGUGAUAAAGAGUUCGGCGUAAAGGGUUACGUCGAUGCAAGCUUUAACACCUAUCCGAGUGACUCUGAGUAGCAAACCGGAUACGUAUAGUGGAGCAACCAUUUGGAAUAGCUCCAAGUGGAGCGUGGAACUAGCAUUUACAAUAUGACCUAGAAAUUUGCAAAGCACACACGGAUCUGAAAGGUUCAGACCCGUUGACUAAAACCUCUCUCACAAGCAAAACAUGAUCAAACCCCAGAACUCAUUUGAUGAUGUUGGUCACAUGGCGAUGUGACCUGUGAGUGUUAAUCACAUGGUGAUGUGAACUAGAUUAUUGACUCUAGUGCAAGUGGGAGACUGUUGGAAAUAUGCCCUAGAGGCAAUAAUAAAAGUAUUAUUAUUAUAUUUCCUUGUUCAUGAUAAUUGUCUUUUAUUCAUGCUAUAACUGUAUUAUCCGGAAAUCGUAAUACACGUGUGAAUACAUAGACCACAAUAUGUCCCUAGUGAGCCUCUAGUUGACUAGCUCGUUGAGAUCAACAGAUAGUCAUGGUUUCCUGGCUAUGGACAUUGGAUGUCGUUGAUAACGGGAUCACAUCAUUAGGAGAAUGAUGUGAUGGACAAGACCCAAUCCUAAGCAUAGCACAAAGAUCGUGUAGUUCGUUUGCUAGAGCUUUUCCAAUGUCAAGUAUCUCUUCCUUAGACCAUGAGAUCGUGUAACUCCCGGAUACUGUAGGAGUGCUUUGGGUGUAUCAAACGUCACAACGUAACUGGGUGACUAUAAAGGUGCACUACAGGUAUCUCCGAAAGUGUCUGUUGGGUUGACACGGAUCGAGACUGGGAUUUGUCACUCCGUGCAAACGGAGAGGUAUCUCUGGGCCCACUCGGUAGGACAUCAUCAUAAUGUGCACAGUGUGACCAAGGGGUUGAUCAUGGGAUGAUGUGUUGCGGAACGAGUAAAGAGACUUGCCGGUAACGAGAUUUAACAAGGUAUCGGUAUACCGACGAUCGAAUCUUGGGCAAGUAAAAUACCGCUAGACAAAGGGAAUUGUAUACGGGAUCGACUGAGUCCUUGACAUCGUGGUUCAUCCGAUGAGAUCAUCGUGGAACAUGUGGGAGCCAACAUGGGUAUACAGAUCCCGCUGUUGGUUAUUGACCGGAGAACGUUUCGGUCAUGUCUACAUGUCUCCCGAACCCGUAGGGUCUACACACUUAAGGUUCGAUGACGCUAGGGUUAUAAAGGAAGCUUGUAUGUGGUUACCGAAUGUUGUUCGGAGUCCCGGAUGAGAUCCCGGACGUCACGAGGAGUUCCGAAAUGGUCCGGAGGUAAAGAUUUAUAUAUGGGAAGUCCUGUUUUGGUCACCGGAAAGGUUUCGGGUUUUAUCGGUAACGUACCGGGACCACCGGGAGGGUCCUGGGGGUCCACCAAGUGGGGCCACCUACCCCGGAGGGCUGCAUGGGCCAUGUGUGGGAGGGAACCAGCCCUAGGUGGGCUGGUGCGCCCCCCACAAGGGGCCCAAGGCGCAGGAAGUGGGGAAGGGGGGCAAACCCUAGGGCAGAUGGGCCCUAAGGCCCACCCUGGGUGCGCCUCCCCCUCUCUCCCCCUCUGGCCGCCACCCAGAUGGGAUCUGAGGGCUGGCCGCCGCCCCCUAGGGGUGGAAACCUAGGUGGGGGCGCAGCCCCCUCUCCCCUAUAUAUAGUGAGGCAUAGGAGCAGCCCAACACAUGAGUUUCUUCUCCUGUUGGCGCAUCCAUACCUCUCUCCCUUCUCCUCAGAUCUCGCGGUGCUUGGCGAAGCCCUGCUGGACUACCACGCUCCUCCAUCACCACCACGCCGUUGUGCUGCUGCUGGAUGGAGUCUUCCUCAACCUCUCCCUCUCUCCUUGCUGGAUCAAGGCGCGGGAGACGUCACCGGGCUGUACGUGUGUUGAACGCGGAGGUGCCGUCCGUUCGGCACUAGGAUCUCCGGUGAUUUGGAUCACGACGAGUACGACUCCUUCAACCCCGUUCUCUUGAACGCUUCCGCUUAGCGAUCUACAAGGGUAUGUAGAUGCACUCUCCUUCCCCUCGUUGCUGGUUUCUCCAUAGAUAGAUCUUGGUGACACGUAGGAAAUUUUUUGAAUUUCUGCUACGUUCCCCAACACUUUUCUGGGUCAUGCCCGGCCGCGGAAGAUCAACACGUCGCAGCCCCACCUAGGCACAACAGAGAGGUCAGCACGCCGGUCUAAACCUAUGCGCACAGGGGUCUGGGCCCAUCGCCCUUUGCACACCUGCAUGUUGCGAGGGCGGCCGGAAGCAGACCUAGCAACCUCUAGUACAACGGAAGUCACGUCACGCGGUCCAAUCUGGCGCGCGUCGCUCAGUCGCUGACGUCACGAAGGCUUCGGCUGAUACCACGACGCCGGGAUACCCAUAACUAUUCCCGCGUAGAUGGUUAGUGCGUAUAGACCAAAUGGCCAGACUCAGAUCAAAUACCCAGAUCUCGUUAAGCGUGUUAAGUAUCCGUGAACGCCGACCAGGGCCAGGCCCACCUCUCACCCAGGUAGUCUCAACCUGCCCUGUCGCUCCGCCACAAAGUUCCAUCCAGAGGGCCAUCGGGACAAAGGUCCUUUCAGCCCCCAAUCCGUGAAUCACUCGCGGGUACUCCUCGAGCCGACCCGACUUUAAUCACCACAUGUAUCAUGUAUAAAGUAUGUAGUAUAUACCCGUGAUCACCUCCCAAGUGAUCACGGCCCGAUAGUAUAGCACAGCAGAUGGACAAGAAUGUAGGGCCACUGAUGGAAAACUAGCAUCCUAUACUAGGCAUGUAGGAUUGCAGGUAAAGGUAACAACAGUAUUAACAAGGACAGGCUAUGCAUCAGGAUAGGUAUAACGGAAAGCAGUAACAUGCUACACUACUCUAAUGCAAGUAGUAUAGAGGAGAGUAGGCGAUAUCUGGUGAUCAAGGGGGGGGGCUUGCCUGGUUGCUCUGGCAAGAGAGAGGGGUCGUCAACUCCGUAGUCGUACUGGGUAGCAGCGGCAUCGGUCUCGGUGUCUAGAUCAAGAAGAGGGGGAAGAAACAAUAAGUAUUUAAGCAAAUAGAUGCAUAGCGAUGCAUGACAUGACAAGUAUCGGUGCUAGGGGUGCCCUAACGCGGUAGGAGGUGAUACCGGUGAAGGGGGAAACAACCGGGAAAGUAUCCCCGGUGUUUCGCGUUUUCGGGCAGAGGAGCCGGAGGGGGAAAGUUGCGAGUUUGAUAUGUUAGGGGUGUGUGGUGGACGAACGGGCUGCGUAUCCGGGUUCGCCGGAUUUUUCUGAGCAACUUUCAUAUAGAAAACAUUUUCAUCUAAUUUACGGUUUAAUUUCUAUGAAUUUUCAAAGUUUUAAACAUUUUCUGAAAUCCCUAUUAACUCGAAAAUAAAUAGACAAAAUUGCUAUGUGCACCCAGAAUUGUACCCAGCCAGCACACACAAGGGCUGACUGGUGGGCCCUGUUGACGGGGUCAACAGACUAGUCAACCAGAGGCUGACUGGUGGGCCCCGAUGCUGAGUCAGCAUGCUGACUCAGCGGAUCUUAUCCAAUUGAACAGUAAAACACGGGCCCCACUUGUCAGUUGUUUAUUUAAUAAAAACAUUUUUAUUAGCAAAAAAAUUAAACGUGCAGGGCCCGGCUGUCAUUGGGGAAUAAGGGCUUGGUUAGUGCUUAUUAAUCCGGCCACGUCGGCGACUAACUCCAGCGCGACGGGGGAGGAACUCUGGCCGGCGCAUUCCGGCAGCCGUUCGCUGCGCGGGCAGGCGCAUUCGAUCGGGCUAGGUGUGGCGCGUCAACCGGGGGAAACUGCGCGAGCGGGGGUCGGUGAGGAGCAGAACAUCGGCACGGCGGUGACGGAGCUCGGUGGUCGCACGGCGAGGCGCGCAGGCGCGCGGCCGUGGGCGCGAGGGCGCGCGGGCAGAGAGGGCGACACGAGCCAGGGCGUGGCGAGGGAUGCGGACGAAGCUGCGCAUCGAGCUAAGGUGACUGGGGACACGGGGAUGCACAGGGUCAACGGCAGCGGCGAACGCUCGCGACGGCGGCGGCUCAGACAUGACAAGCCUGAGAAAAAUGUCCACGAAUCGACCAAAUGGAGGUGGUAGGCGGCAUCUACGCAGCUCCUAAAGCACACACGCAUCCUCAGACGAGGCUAAGUGGCACGGCAGCGACGUGCUCGUCGGCCAUGGCGGACGGCGGCGUCGGCCUCGAGCAGGGGAAGUGGCUACGGCGCACGGGGCAACGAGGAGAGGGGGAAAAGGUGCGGGGCUUACAGUGAGGCACACGGUGGCCGACGACGGGCUUAGCAGCGCAGGAGGGUGGUGAAUCGGGGCGACAGAGUUUGUCGGUGUCGGGGAGGAAGACGAAGGCGAUCCGACGAUGGAGUGCUCCCCGGCUCGCAUUCCUGGGCGUAGAGGAAGUAGCGGACGACGGCGCGUCUUCUGAGCAGGGUCUCGAGGUGUGCGGAGGACGGUGGCCGCGGCUCCUACGGCGGCGAGGCCCUGACUGCGCUCGGCGAGGUGAGGCAGGCGGAGCGAGCGAGGUGGAGAGGGGGAGGAGCGAGUGGGAGGGGUGGCGUCCCGAGGCGCGCUCGUGGCGGCCUUAUCCCCUCCGCGGCGCGCUGUAGCGACGGAGCCGGCGAGGUGGUCCGGUGGGAACGGGCGCUCGUCUCGGGUCUGGGGAACAGGGGAGGAGAGAGUUGACCGAGGAGGAGGAGUGGGCCACUAGGCCAGCUCGGGUGGGCCGAGGCCUAGAGGGCAGGAGGCUUUCUUAUUUUUAUUUUUUUGUUGUUUUUUUCUUUUGUUUUCUGGUUAGAUUUGUUUUUCCUUUUUCUUUUAUUUAUUUCCCUUUUUUGUUAUAAUUCAAUUUAAAAUAUUUAUGCAUUUUAUAAAAAUGUGUUUACUACACCAUAUUUACCUAUGUAAUAUUUAGUACAAACCAAACAUUUUUAUUUUAAUGUUUGAAAACUUUUAUUAUUUACCAAACUUUGAAUUUGAAUUUUGGACCGGUUUUGAUCUAACGAUAGAUUAGCAGCAGUAACCGUGGUGACGUGGCACCAUUAGUGUGGGAUCACUGUAGCUUAAUUAUCCGGGCGUCAC